UGGAGCUCGGACGCGAGUU
Molecule: small nuclear RNA, 19 nt
Filed under: Arabidopsis thaliana (thale cress)
Lineage: Eukaryota; Viridiplantae; Streptophyta; Magnoliopsida; Brassicales; Brassicaceae
Description: snRNA_17329
Source: RNAcentral